This is a non-coding RNA of Schistosoma haematobium, 45 nucleotides long. The record is from Rfam. Lineage: Eukaryota; Metazoa; Platyhelminthes; Trematoda; Strigeidida; Schistosomatidae.
AUCCAGAUGACGAGUCCCAAACAGGACGAAACGCGUGUCCUGGAU